This 353-nucleotide transfer-messenger RNA is filed under the name Sphingomonas aliaeris. It matches the Rfam family "Alphaproteobacteria transfer-messenger RNA". From Rfam's summary of the family: Bacterial tmRNA, also known as 10Sa RNA or SsrA, is named for its dual tRNA and mRNA-like properties. Its role is to liberate the mRNA from a stalled ribosome. The record is from RNAcentral. Lineage: Bacteria; Pseudomonadati; Pseudomonadota; Alphaproteobacteria; Sphingomonadales; Sphingomonadaceae.
GGGCUUGGCAAAAGCCGGCGAUAAUCCCAUAUAGAGGGUGUCGUAAGGGGCUUGCCCCGGAGACUAUGGUGAUAAAGUGCUGUGCAUAAUAGACGCAACGGACCCGGGGGCAGUACCCGGCGGCUCCACCAAAACCCGUUCUUUGAGGACAGGUUCUGACGGGGCCGAAGCAGGAUCGACGUGUGUUCAAAGGCGCAGUUUUUGCCCCGGCUGAGUAACCGGUUAUAGGCUCAAAACCACAAGUGCUAACGAUAACGAAGCGCUCGCGAUUGCCGCGUAAAUUGGUCUUAACGGACUAAUUUACUAAGACAAAAGCGCGGUUGGACCGCACCGGGCAACAGAAGCGGAUUCCG